RNAcentral lists this ribosomal RNA (562 nucleotides) under Oxystele variegata. RNAcentral describes it as "partial 16S ribosomal RNA". It matches the Rfam family "Bacterial large subunit ribosomal RNA", at positions 1853 to 2608 of the family's 2925-position model. Lineage: Eukaryota; Metazoa; Mollusca; Gastropoda; Trochida; Trochidae. The record is from RNAcentral.
UCGGACCUGCCCGGUGACUAAGUGUUAAACGGCCGCGGUACCCUAACCGUGCAAAGGUAGCAUAAUCAUUUGCCUUUUAAUUGGAGGCUGGUAUGAAUGGUUUGACGAAAGCCAGACUGUCUCCCCUGAAAUAUUUAAAAAUUAACUUUUAGGUGAAGAGGCCUGAAUUAAUUUAAGGGACAAGAAGACCCUGUUGAGCUUUAGUGAAAUUAUAAACUAUAAAAUGAAUUUUGUUCAGUGCAAUAAAAUUGAUGUGGCACUUUGUGUAGCAAAAGUUUAUGGUGAAUCUUUAGUUGGGGCGACUGAGGAACAAUGGAAGCUUCUUUUAAUAAGGCGGUUUAUAGAGUAUUAAUAAGUUUAUAAAUUGAUUUUUACAGAUUAAUUUGAUCCAAACUUGUUUUGAUUAAAGGAAAAAGUUACCACAGGGAUAACAGCGUAAUCUUUCUGGAGAGAUCUUAUCGAAAGAAGGGUUUGCGACCUCGAUGUUGGACUAAGAUAUCCUAAGGGUGUAGAAGUUCUUGAAGGUUGGUCUGUUCGACCAUUAAAAUCUUACGUGAUCUGA